Long non-coding RNA from Clupea harengus (Atlantic herring), 1027 nucleotides. RefSeq lists it as uncharacterized. Lineage: Eukaryota; Metazoa; Chordata; Actinopteri; Clupeiformes; Clupeidae. The record is from RefSeq and is a predicted model, not a curated record. The transcript is spliced from 4 exons.
GGAGCUGAAUCUCUUAUUAGGGGCACAGGAAGCAGAAUGCUGAAAUUACUGGAGAUACAAGGGACACAAUUACUGACAUACAGAAUGACUCAGGUCUCAUGUACAGCACUGUCACAGCAAGGGCCACGACCUCUGACCCUGCACAGAGAGUGCCCACACCUGAUCAAAACGAUGUUCAGUAUGCAAGCGUUCGGAUCAAUCGCUCCAAAACACAGGAAGUACCUCUAUACGCCACCGUCCAGAAGCCUCAAACCUCCACGCAGGACGACGAUGUUGCCUACUCAUCAGUCCAGUUUCUCAGAGGAAGGGCUGCCACCAGGGCUGAGAUUGACGUGAUCUACAGUGCAGUCAUCAAACCAUGACAGGCCCGUGAAACAGCAGACCAGAAUUGCCCUCAGGUUAUCAAAGCCGUCCAUCAGAACAAGACAUACUCAGUCUUUACAAGAAAUCCUUUUGAAGUAUUACCUUUGGUGUGAAAUUCUUUAGAUUUAACUUUUUAUGUUUCUAUGUUGUUACUGCCAAAAUGCCAUAUAGCAUUGCAUUUUGUCUUUGUUACAAUAUUCAUUCAGAAUCGCUUUAAAUGUUCUAUAGUAGUAAAUCAUGACUUUGAAUGUAAUGUUUUAUUUAUUUAUUAUAUAUACAGAUAUUAGAUAUUCCUCAGAUGUUAGAUAUUCCUUAAAUUCCUCUCUGGAUUUACACGAGUUAAACAAACUCUUACUAUUUUUGAAAUCAUGAACAAGGAUUUUACACACUCAAACAUUUUCAUUAUUGGUAUUUUGUUCAAUAACCUUGCAUUUCAUUGCCUAGUCAUACUGAAUGAUCAGCUGGAGAACGUCAUUGUUCCAUACAUGCAAUUGCUCAAGUGAAAAUGAAAGUAACAUUUUCCUCAUAGAAGAAAGAUAUUUAAGAAUGUAUACAUUCAAGCCUUUAACAAGGCUUGAUUGAUGUGUAGAAACCUUACCUAAAAAAUGUACAGCUAUAUUCUAACCCUCUCAUUUUAGAUAAAUAAAAGAUUAUUUUAGCACAA